AUACGAAGGGGGCUAGCGUUGUUCGGAUUUACUGGGCGUAAAGCGCACGUAGGCGGAUUGAUCAGUUAGGGGUGAAAUCCCGAGGCUCAACCUCGGAACUGCCUUUAAUACUGUCAGUCUAGAGACCGGAAGAGGUGAGUGGAACUCCUAGUGUAGAGGUGGAAUUCGUAGAUAUUAGGAAGAACACCAGUGGCGAAGGCGGCUCACUGGUCCGGUACUGACGCUGAGGUGCGAAAGCGUGGGGAGCGAACAGGAUUAGAAACCCCAGUAGUCC
Molecule: ribosomal RNA, 274 nt
Filed under: uncultured bacterium
Lineage: Bacteria
Description: partial 16S ribosomal RNA
Rfam family: Bacterial small subunit ribosomal RNA
Source: RNAcentral